This 823-nucleotide ribosomal RNA is filed under the name uncultured bacterium. RNAcentral's name for it is "bacterial SSU rRNA". It matches the Rfam family "Bacterial small subunit ribosomal RNA", at positions 65 to 876 of the family's 1533-position model. The record is from RNAcentral.
GACGGCAGCACAAGAGAGCUUGCUCUCUGGGUGGCGAGUGGCGGACGGGUGAGGAAUGCAUCGGAAUCUGCCCAUUUGUGGGGGAUAACCUCGGGAAACCGGGACUAAUACCGCAUACGACCUACGGGUGAAAGCAGGGGAUCUUCGGACCUUGCGCAGAUGGAUGAGCCGAUGCCGGAUUAGCUAGUUGGAGGGGUAAAGGCCCACCAAGGCGACGAUCCGUAGCUGGUCUGAGAGGAUGAUCAGCCACACUGGGACUGAGACACGGCCCAGACUCCUACGGGAGGCAGCAGUGGGGAAUAUUGGACAAUGGGCGCAAGCCUGAUCCAGCCAUGCCGCGUGUGUGAAGAAGGCCUUCGGGUUGUAAAGCACUUUUGUUGGGAAAGAAAAGCAGCCGGUUAAUACCCGGUUGUCAUGACGGUACCCAAAGAAUAAGCACCGGCUAACUUCGUGCCAGCAGCCGCGGUAAUACGAAGGGUGCAAGCGUUACUCGGAAUUACUGGGCGUAAAGCGUGCGUAGGUGGUUGUUUAAGUCUGAUGUGAAAGCCCUGGGCUCAACCUGGGAAUGGCAUUGGAUACUGGGCAACUGGAGUGCGGUAGAGGGUAGCGGAAUUCCCGGUGUAGCAGUGAAAUGCGUAGAUAUCGGGAGGAACAUCUGUGGCGAACGCGGCUACCUGGACCAGCACUGACACUGAGGCACGAAAGCGUGGGGAGCAAACAGGAUUAGAUACCCUGGUAGUCCACGCCCUAAACGAUGCGAACUGGAUGUUGGGUGCACUUAGGCACUCAGUAUCGAAGCUAACGCGUUAAGUUCGCCGCCUGG